UACAGAGGUCUCAAGCGUUGUCCGGAAUUACUGGGCGUAAAGGGCGCGUAGGCGGCCUGUUAAGUCGAACGUGAAAUCCCCGGGCUCAACCCGGGAACUGCGUCCGAUACUGGCAGGCUUGAAUCCGGGAGAGGGAUGCGGAAUUCCAGGUGUAGCGGUGAAAUGCGUAGAUAUCUGGAGGAACACCGGUGGCGAAGGCGGCAUCCUGGACCGGCAUUGACGCUGAGGCGCGAAAGCCAGGGGAGCAAACGGG
RNAcentral lists this ribosomal RNA (253 nucleotides) under uncultured bacterium. RNAcentral describes it as "partial 16S ribosomal RNA". It matches the Rfam family "Bacterial small subunit ribosomal RNA", at positions 524 to 776 of the family's 1533-position model. The record is from RNAcentral.